This is a long non-coding RNA of Poecilia reticulata (guppy), 920 nucleotides long. RefSeq lists it as uncharacterized. The record is from RefSeq and is a predicted model, not a curated record. NCBI's taxonomy places the organism in Eukaryota, Metazoa, Chordata, Actinopteri, Cyprinodontiformes, Poeciliidae.
GUCUUAGUAGUAAACACGAAGAGAACGAACACCUUGGAGGAGCAUCGCAGAUAGAAAUCCAUAGAAAUAAAUGUUUAAACGGCUUUUUAAAGGACGUACGAACUUUUCAUGUGAAUAGCAAAGUAGAGGUGACAGGCAGACAGGCACUGCCCGUCACCUAGCAACCCCAGUGAAGCCCGGCAUGUUGCCCAGCAACCCCAGCGGACCUCCCCACGUUACCUAGCAACCCAAGCUGAGCUCCAGGACUUAUGCAGGGAUGACUGCGCUCUGCGUCAGCCCUUUCAUGUCCACCUCGCCCCGUGCCUUCAGUCUCAAAGGUCAGGCCACAUUAAGAUCUUUAAGGCGCAGAAAUAGCCCUCGCCGCUGCAGGCCGGUGCUUCUUUCGCCUCCUUUAGCGGAGGAUAAAGCUCAAGCAUCGGUGGACACCAGCAAUCUGAAAUCCACAGAGGCUUACGCCGAGUAUUUGAUGAGGUGCUCUGAGCUGCAAUCCCUCCCGCAGGAACGGUUUAACUGUUUUGUUUUUUUGUGGUUGUUGUUUGGUUCGUUGGAUCUGGUCGGCUGAGCCACAAAGCUGCCUAACCGGAGAAUUUUCUCCUCCUCUCUCCGAUCAUCCGUUUGAUGCUGAACGAUGGGGGGAUGGGAGGAAGAUAGUAGGAUUGAUUUGGUGGGAGGAAUAAAAAGAGGACACUAAUGAUAUUGCAUCGGAAAGUCCGGUUCGUUUGGUGAGGUGUGAAUUCUGAAGUGAACUCUGGUCCCAUUCGAGUGAGAUCCACGCUGACCGGAGAUCGCUCCAAAAGCAGGAAGUGGACUACAGCGUAGGGCAUUCUGGGUAAAAACAACCAAAACGAACGCGGAAGUCCAGCGCUACUGGGAGAAAUGGCUCACAAUCUUUUGCCAAAGACAAAAGAGAAAUCCUCCAA